Crotalus tigris (Tiger rattlesnake) is the source of this 2178-nucleotide long non-coding RNA. RefSeq lists it as uncharacterized. The record is from RefSeq and is a predicted model, not a curated record. The transcript is spliced from 3 exons. NCBI's taxonomy places the organism in Eukaryota, Metazoa, Chordata, Lepidosauria, Squamata, Viperidae.
AAGUUGCAUCAGAACAUAUGUAAUGUCUAAACCAUAAAAAAUAAUUGUCUAUUUGGUAGAGGGCAGAGCUCCACUUUCAAUACUGUGUGUACCUCUGGGUACCACAUUUCCACAAAUAUCCAGAAAUAUUAGGUUUCGAGAAGGACAAUUAAGAUAAUCAAUAUGCUAGAAAACUAAGCCCGGUGAAGAGUGAUGAAGAAGCUAGGAUUAUUUAGCCUUGACAGAGAUGAUUGAGGAAUGAUAACACUCUUCAGAUAGUGUGCGAAGGUUCCCAAACAUUGUCACAGUAGCUCUCCUCAAGUGAAGAAGAUAAUUUACAAGGUAGUUCUUGAAUCAGAAUAGGGCAGUGACAGUCUUUCUAGUUACUAUAUUCACUCCAUACACAAAGCCCAUACAUCAUUCAAAAGUUAUGUGAAUUUUAUAAGCUUUCUCUUCUUCAAGCUGUUCCGAACUGUUUUCAUGGUUAUCUAAUUAUAAUCGAAUUAUAAGUGUUGUUAUCAUUAGGCAUGGUGGCCUAGUGAUGAAGAUGUUCGCCUCCCACUCGAAAGAUUGAGAGCUCAAUGCUCAGUAGCGGCAAAUGUUUAACAGGCAAAGAAAAAAAAAAUAUCUGCUGCAAAUUCCACAUAGUGCCAAGAAAGGCAUCUGGCCAGCUGCAGCUAGUCAUCCUGACUCUACCCCAAAUUAAAGGGUUACAUGGUCAUAAAAAGGGAGAAGUUUUUUUAUAAUUAUCCUACAAUAAAUCAAUAAUUUAUCUUUUUAACAAGAUAAAUAAGAGGUACUUAAAUAACUGUAAAAUAUAGUUACCUGUUCUUGAGAGCUGCCAUAAUAAGUCUGAACAAAGAUGUAGAGUGGCAUUCUAUAUAGUCUUUCAGAUUUCCUCAUGUAUGACAUCAUACUGGUUACUUAGAAACAACAAAGCUCUCAAUAGUCUUUAAGCAUCAAGCCAUUUUUAUGAGGAGAUGCAUGAAUUUUUUUUAAAACUCUUCUCUGCCGAUGUCUUCAGAUCACAGUGAACACCUGAAAAUUAAAUUAGUUAUUUUAACAGAUAAUUAUAGAAAUAUAAAUCAACAAGUGCAUUUAAGAGGCGUCUCUUUGGAAAACCAUGUCUGAAGCUGAUGAAGAAGGAGGGGAAGACUAUGAAGAUGUAGGAGAUAAAGCUGAAAAAAAAGAAGUUACUGCGGAACUUCUGCCUCAGCCUGAAAAAAAGGCAAGUGUCACCACUGGGGCACUGAGCUGCUGCUGCUUGCUGUGGAGUUUGGUCUGGUUAAUUAUAUUAGUGGCUUUUGCUUGGCCCUUGAGUGUGGCUAUGGCAGCCCUUUAUGGAUUUGUGUCACCCAUGAUUUCACUGAUAGGACUGGAUGAUAUCAGUGAAUCUAUGCUGCAAGCGGUACAUGUGGGAAGAGAAUGUGCUAAAAACGUCAGAACUGGCAGGGCCAUGGUCUGAAGAAGAAACCUCAAGAGUUACUCCCAUCCCUUCCAUUUACAAGUGUCCCUGCUUUUUCAUGUUUUCAUCACUAUCGUUGAUUUCUACAUCUUCAUUUCAACAUUUAUAUUAAAAAGGACUUUAUUUCAGUCUAAAAGAGUUUUCAUGCUAUUUUACCUGACUUAACCAGUUUGGUUUCCAGUGUACACAUAAGUUAAGAAUGAAGCAGGGGGGCCAUCUUGCUUCAUGGCCUCUGCUUUCUGAGAUUUCCUCCAGCAUGUUCAGUGAGCUCUGAUGUUCAGUGAGCUCCGGGAAUUUCUGAAAGAGCUUUGUAUAGAUGUGUAUUGUAGGUACAGUGAUUUUGCAAAUGUGAGAUUGAGGCUGCAAGGCAAUGCCAAACGACAUCGAACAAAUUCAAGUAAUCUUGUAGAGGCCUGAUAAUAUUGUAUUUGAUUGUAUUUAAAAUCAAUUAUUUUUCACUUGUAUUUAUUUUUGUUCUCCCUUCCUUUUAAUUUAUUCCUUCCCCUGAAAAUCACAAGUUUUUCUUUUUACUGUGUAAAAUGUUAAAUAAUAUAGAGCCAUGAAUCUUCUUCCUGUCUUUUGUCUCCCACAUUCUAGCACUGUGCCUUAUUGGUGGGUUUACAUUAAUCUCUUACCUGGUAUUACUGGAAAGGUCAGUGAUAGGAAAGGCUCGGGGUAGGAUCAGGAAUGAAUACUGUCUCUUUUCCCAGGGUUUCUAAAUUGGUCAAAAUGAA